This is a small nucleolar RNA of Otolemur garnettii (small-eared galago), 108 nucleotides long. NCBI's taxonomy places the organism in Eukaryota, Metazoa, Chordata, Mammalia, Primates, Galagidae. The record is from Ensembl.
AUCCCUCACCACUGUACAAACAAGGAUGAUGGUUGGGUUUUCAUGCUCGUGUGGGAGAUGGACCUCUCUUAGACCUUCUUAAAACUUCUGCACAUUACUUAUCUGAUG